Triticum aestivum (bread wheat) is the source of this 1560-nucleotide RNA transcript. It is a transcript of the gene named very-long-chain enoyl-CoA reductase, with no coding region annotated. The record is from RefSeq and is a predicted model, not a curated record. The transcript is spliced from 6 exons. NCBI's taxonomy places the organism in Eukaryota, Viridiplantae, Streptophyta, Magnoliopsida, Poales, Poaceae.
CCUCCUUUCUUUCUCCCCUCGCUCUCCGGCGCCGGCACGCCUCCCCUCUCCUCCUCCCCUCCCCGCUCAAUCCCAUGGCGAACCCCGUCGCCUCCUCUCUCCUCCAUCCCUCCUGCGCGCGUCGGCCACCUACUUCCGGCAGAGCUCGACCCCCACCCCCAAGCGUCGCUCCUCCACCCUCUCCCAAGCCCCUCGAUCCCAGAUCCCCGUCUCCAAGUCACCCUCUCCCUCCCUCAGAUCUCGAUCCGCCGCCGCCCACCAUCGACGACCCUCACCAUAGACGAGAUCGAGCUUCUCCCUCCCUCCCGUUCUCCCCUAGCCUUAUCCACUCCGAGCCAACCAACCACUCCGGACCUCUCCUCCCCCACCCAGCCUUCUUCGUCUCCACCUCCACCACAGGUUCCAGGAGAGCUCGCCUCGCCUUGCUGCUGCCUGAAGCCACCAGCGGAGGCACGCCGGAGGGAGCAUGAAUGUCUCCGUCGUGUCCCGGAGCGGCCGCGAGGUCGUCAAGGGCGGCAUCGAGCUCAAGGACUCGAUACGCGCCCGCCCGCCUGCUCUUCCUUCUGCGCCGCGGGCCGGCGGAGGGCUUCGCUCUCGGCUGGCCUGGGGUUUGAUUAAGAUCUCUACUAGAGCGGAGUUUCCAAGCUCGACCUGACCGUUCUUCCCGUGGUUCCCGUUUUCUCUGCAGGCCAAGGUCGCGGAUCUGCAGGAAGCCAUCCAUGCCAAGACUAAGAAGUAUUAUCCUGCUAGGCGACGGCCCACCCUCCCUGCACAACCUGGAAAAUCUGGAAAGCCAAUUGUCCUCAAUCAAAAGGCCAGCCUAUCGGAAUACUGCGAGAAGGGUUACAGGCGGAGCAGCGGGUGGGGGAGCGAAAUCAGGCGAUGGCCAGCAAGUCAAGGCCGUCACGACGGCUGGUGGCGCAACAUGCGACUAUGGCGGACCUAGUUCUGGAGACCCCAUCCGCGCGCGUCCAGGCAGGUUGCGACCGCGGUCGCCCUCGUACGUCAGUCGGCGGCAUCGGAGCCAUGUCAGAGCCAAUUGCUGGGCAUGUCACCGAGACUGACCAAGACGCCGCGGCUGCAAGUGCUGGGCAUGUCGCCAAGAAGACCAACAAGCAGUACUAGCUCUGAGUUCCCAAAAUGCCUGACUCCAACGGCAACAGCAUGAAACACACGGAGGAUAAUGGCCUCUUCACCGACUCCGGCCCCGUCCUCCCCGACUCAUGGUCGUGGCCCUGUGCACGAUAGUGCCCUCCCUCUUUUACUUCUACUACCUACUGUUGAUGUUGUUGCUGAUUGGUCUAUGCACGGUACAAUGGGAGCAAGCUCAUCUUCAAUCCCUAGCUACUGCAUGACUGCCGGGGUGCAUACUCCCUACAGUUCCUCGAGCAUCUGGACCUCUUAUUGUAGUAGCUGGUGAAGUGCGAAUCCAAGGACGAAGCUGUGAAGCAUAUCAACAAAGAGUAGCAUAUUAUGUGUUGUAAUUGUAGGCAUAUCUGGGUUGUAAUAUACUGUAACAAUUGUAAUAGACUAAUAUAGUGUUGUUUUGGAUGAAUUUCA